This 99-nucleotide transfer RNA is filed under the name Microcoleus sp. SIO2G3. Its description in RNAcentral is "tRNA-Leu". It matches the Rfam family "tRNA". From Rfam's summary of the family: Transfer RNA (tRNA) molecules are approximately 80 nucleotides in length. Lineage: Bacteria; Bacillati; Cyanobacteriota; Cyanophyceae; Oscillatoriales; Microcoleaceae. The record is from RNAcentral.
GCUCCUGUAGCGCAAUUGGUAGACGCGUUAGCGAAGCGGCUCUGAAAGAGCUUCGCCUCAAAAGCGGUAGUACUGCGAGUUCGAGUCUCGCCGGGAGCA